Molecule: ribosomal RNA, 417 nt
Filed under: uncultured Glomeromycotina
Lineage: Eukaryota; Fungi; Glomeromycota
Description: SSU rRNA
Rfam family: Eukaryotic small subunit ribosomal RNA
Source: RNAcentral
UGCACUAGCUUCGCUGAUUCCUCCUUUCUGAAGAACUGUAAUGCCAUUAAUUUGGUGUUGCAGGGAAACAGGACUGUUACUUUGAAAAAAUUAGAGUGUUUAAAGCAGGCUCACGCUUGAAUACAUUAGCAUGGAAUAAUGAAAUAGGACGUUUGAUCCUAUUUUGUUGGUUUCUAGGAUUGACGUAAUGAUUAAUAGGGAUAGUUGGGGGCAUUAGUAUUCAAUUGUCAGAGGUGAAAUUCUUGGAUUUAUUGAAGACUAACUACUGCGAAAGCAUUUGCCAAGGAUGUUUUCAUUAAUCAAGAACGAAAGUUAGGGGAUCGAAGACGAUCAGAUACCGUCGUAGUCUUAACCAUAAACUAUGCCGACUAGGGAUCGGAUGAUGUUAAUUUUUAAUGACUCAUUCGGCGCCUUACG